CCUACGGGUGGCAGCAGUGAGGAAUAUUGGUCAAUGGACGCAAGUCUGAACCAGCCAUGCCGCGUGCAGGAGGACGGCACAGUGUAUUGUAAACUUCUUUUGUACGAGGACAAAUCCCGAUACGCGUCUCCGGUUGAGAGUAUCUUACGAAUAAGAAUCGGCUAACUCCGUGCCAGCAGCCGCGGUACUACGGAGGAUGCGAGCGUUAUCCGGAUUUAUUGGUUUUAAAGGGUGCGUAGGCGGUUCGAUAAGUUAGCGGUUAAAUCCCGGGGCUCAACUCCGGCCCUGCCUCUGAGACUGUCGGGCUCGAGUUUAGGUGAGGUAGGCGGAAUGUAUGGUGUAGCGGUGAAAUGCAUAGAGAUCAUACAGAACACCGAUUGCGAAGGCAGCUUACC
Molecule: ribosomal RNA, 395 nt
Filed under: uncultured bacterium
Lineage: Bacteria
Description: partial 16S ribosomal RNA
Rfam family: Bacterial small subunit ribosomal RNA
Source: RNAcentral